Molecule: transfer RNA, 72 nt
Filed under: Ictidomys tridecemlineatus (thirteen-lined ground squirrel)
Lineage: Eukaryota; Metazoa; Chordata; Mammalia; Rodentia; Sciuridae
Description: Spermophilus tridecemlineatus (thirteen-lined ground squirrel) tRNA
Rfam family: tRNA
About the family: Transfer RNA (tRNA) molecules are approximately 80 nucleotides in length. Their secondary structure includes four short double-helical elements and three loops (D, anti-codon, and T loops).
Source: Rfam by way of RNAcentral
GGGGAGAUAGCUAAUUGAUACAGUGUUUGCCUCACAUGCCCAAAGCCCUGGGUUCAAUUCCCAGCAUCACCA